Molecule: RNA transcript, 4163 nt
Organism: Choloepus didactylus (southern two-toed sloth)
Lineage: Eukaryota; Metazoa; Chordata; Mammalia; Pilosa; Megalonychidae
Gene: NSF
Gene name: N-ethylmaleimide sensitive factor, vesicle fusing ATPase
Exons: 21
Source: RefSeq, a predicted model, not a curated record
GCGGGGGCGGGCUCUCCCGAGAGCAGCGCUGCAGCCGCUGUAUUGGACGUGUCGGCGAAGAUGGCGGGUCGGAGUAUGCAAGCUGCACGAUGUCCUACAGAUGAAUUAUCUUUAACCAACUGCGCAGUUGUGAAUGAAAAGGAUUUCCAGUCUGGACAGCAUGUGAUAGUGAGGACUUCUCCCAACCAUAGGUACACAUUUACACUGAGGACCCAUCCGUCAGUGGUUCCAGGGAGCAUCGCAUUCAGCUUACCCCAGCGAAAGUGGGCUGGACUUUCUAUUGGACAAGAAAUAGAAGUGUCUUUAUAUACAUUUGACAAGGCCAAGCAGUGUAUCGGCACGAUGACCAUCGAGAUCGAUUUCCUGCAGAAGAAAAGCAUUGAUUCCAACCCCUAUGACACUGACAAGAUGGCAGCAGAAUUUAUUCAGCAGUUCAACAACCAGGCUUUCUCUGUGGGACAACAGCUUGUAUUUAGCUUCAAUGACAAGCUUUUUGGUUUACUGGUGAAGGAUAUUGAAGCCAUGGAUCCUAGCAUCCUGAAGGGGGAGCCUGCGACAGGUAAAAGACAGAAGAUUGAAGUAGGACUGGUUGUUGGAAACAGUCAAGUUGCAUUUGAAAAAGCAGAAAAUUCUUCACUAAAUCUUAUUGGCAAAGCUAAAACCAAGGAAAAUCGCCAGUCUAUCAUCAAUCCUGACUGGAACUUUGAAAAAAUGGGAAUAGGUGGUCUGGACAAGGAAUUUUCAGAUAUUUUUCGACGAGCAUUUGCUUCCCGAGUAUUUCCUCCAGAGAUUGUGGAGCAGAUGGGUUGCAAACAUGUUAAAGGCAUCCUGUUAUAUGGGCCCCCAGGUUGUGGUAAGACUCUCUUGGCUCGACAGAUUGGCAAGAUGUUGAAUGCAAGAGAGCCCAAAGUGGUUAACGGACCAGAAAUCCUUAACAAAUACGUGGGAGAAUCAGAGGCCAACAUUCGUAAACUUUUUGCUGAUGCUGAAGAGGAACAAAGGAGGCUUGGUGCUAACAGCGGUUUGCACAUCAUCAUCUUUGAUGAAAUUGAUGCCAUCUGCAAGCAGAGAGGGAGCAUGGCUGGCAGCACAGGAGUUCACGACACUGUUGUCAACCAGCUGCUGUCCAAAAUUGAUGGGGUAGAGCAAUUGAACAACAUCCUAGUUAUUGGAAUGACCAACAGACCAGAUCUGAUAGAUGAGGCUCUCCUUCGACCUGGAAGACUGGAAGUUAAAAUGGAGAUCGGCUUACCCGAUGAGAAAGGUCGACUACAGAUCCUUCACAUCCACACAGCAAGAAUGAGAGGACAUCAGUUACUCUCUGCUGACGUAGAUAUUAAAGAACUGGCCGUGGAGACCAAGAAUUUCAGUGGUGCUGAGCUGGAAGGUCUGGUGCGAGCAGCACAGUCCACUGCUAUGAACAGACACAUAAAGGCCAGCACUAAAGUAGAAGUGGACAUGGAGAAAGCAGAGAGCCUUCAGGUGACAAGAGGGGACUUCCUUGCUUCUUUGGAGAAUGAUAUCAAACCUGCAUUUGGCACAAACCAAGAGGACUAUGCAAGUUACAUUAUGAAUGGUAUCAUCAAAUGGGGUGACCCAGUUACUCGGGUUCUAGAAGAUGGGGAACUGCUUGUUCAACAGACUAAAAACAGUGACCGUACACCAUUGGUUAGCGUCCUUUUGGAAGGCCCUCCUCACAGUGGGAAGACUGCUUUAGCUGCAAAGAUUGCAGAAGAAUCCAACUUCCCUUUCAUCAAAAUCUGUUCUCCUGAUAAGAUGAUUGGCUUUUCUGAGACAGCCAAAUGUCAGGCCAUGAAGAAGAUCUUUGAUGAUGCAUACAAAUCCCAGCUCAGUUGCGUGGUUGUGGAUGACAUUGAGAGACUGCUUGAUUAUGUCCCUAUUGGCCCUCGAUUUUCUAACCUGGUGUUACAGGCUCUUCUUGUAUUACUGAAAAAGGCACCACCUCAGGGCCGCAAGCUUCUUAUCAUUGGAACCACUAGCCGCAAAGAUGUCCUGCAGGAGAUGGAAAUGCUUAACGCUUUCAGCACCACCAUCCACGUACCCAACAUUGCUACGGGAGAGCAGCUGUUGGAGGCUUUGGAGCUUUUGGGUAACUUCAAGGAUAAGGAACGUAUCACAAUUGCACAGCAAGUCAAAGAGAAGAAAGUCUGGAUAGGAAUCAAGAAGUUACUAAUGUUGAUUGAGAUGUCUCUACAGAUGGAUCCUGAAUACCGUGUGAGAAAAUUCUUGGCCCUCUUAAGAGAAGAAGGAGCUUAAGUAGACACAACACUUAAGACUGUCAACCAAACUUACCACUCUGUUAACAAUUUCAGUGCUUUUUUUUUCUAACAGUUGCUAUGUAGUGCAUAUAAAUUUGAAUUAUCAGCCUUCAUUAGCUAACUUUGUUACCAUUUAUAAGAAUUCUUCACUGUGUUGUAGGUCUGAGAGACCAAGCAAGGAAGUUGAUUAUACUGUUGGUUUGCUUCCCCUGUCCUGCUUCGCAAAACUUACUUGUCACAAUGCAAGAAAAAACUCGAUGUAGCCCCCUUGACUUUGAUUGAAAAUGGACUAUUUGCAACACACAGUGACCAAGGAAAGGGACCAAUGUGAAGAUGACAGGGAAUCAUCACUCAUCUUACUCAAGACACUGGACUAAGUGAAAUGAUCUCUGCCUUCAACACUUACUUGCUCUGCAUGUUUAGUGCAAUAAAACUCCCUUCCAUAUGCUUAUUGAGAUACUCUAGUAUUUUGUGGAAGGUACAAAUCUGCUUUAGAAUGCUGUGCUUACCUUUCCGUGCAAGCUAACAUGACUCCUUCUUACUCAGUUUUCGAGGAGGUAUACUAUACUUGUGAACACUGUACUUUUCAAGCUCCCUACCACCAUACCCCAAAACUCACAAUAAGUGUAGUCACUGUUACAAGACAAGGAAGAAUCGACAUGCGAACCAGGAACGGACUAGAGCUCGGGGUUCAAGGGCCCACUUCAUAGCCUCCCUGUGUUGGCACUAAAGGUAACUGGGUAUUUGGUUAAAGGUUCCCCAGAAAACUGGCUAUUAUCUUUGCCUAAAGAAGCAGGGCUUUGAAUUUCUAAGAUGCUCUUCUUAAUCAUUUUCAGAGAUGUUUCCAAGUUGCAAUCAGGAGAGCUUUCUUAAUAGAAAGUCAGAUUAUUACUGCGUUGGCUGUGACAUCCCCUUAAUACAAUUAAUUUGCUCUGUGGUAGGAGGUACGCUAAUCAUUACCACUUGGUAGAUGUUAAAAACUUGUGAAAGAUAUAUAUGGAAAAAGUGUGCACCACUAAACAGAAGAAAAUUAGUUAUUAAAAGAUAUUUGCAAACCUCUCAACAUUAGUGUCCAACUUUAAGUGGGACAGUUCCUUAGAUUAAUAUGAAGGGCUUAUUGGUAUCUCUACUUUUCCUCUUAAUCUUAAUUACUUACUUAGAACUUAUACUUCCUUUAUUUAAAUUAUCUGUAUGAUGCAGUUUCAAAAUAAAAUACUGUUCUCCAGAAAAAUAAACCACUUUCCAGCCCUCUCCCCCACCCUUUAACGUCCAUUCCAAAACAUUUAACACAUUUCUUGUACCUUCUACGUGCUUCUUCCAAAGGAAAGAAGAACUCACUGAGUCCUUUUGAGGAUGAUUUUUCAUACAACUGAGUUAGAAGGAAUUUAAUUAGAUUGUCCCACUUGAUAAGACAUAGAGCAUGCCAGUCUCCCCACUGCUGUUGAAAAUGCAAGGAAAGUGGAAGCCAUCUGAAGGUGCUCAACGCCAGUAAGGCUUGUGGCCCAGUGAUACUCGGACACGGUCCUGUCAUCAGUCCCCAUGGUAGUAAGCAGACCAUCUCCAAAUCUUGCUACCUUCUUUUGGUAGAGACUUGCACAUCAUACCUGCUUUGUUUUUGAAUGGUCAUCCCUAGCUUAUUUUGUGGCUCUUUAAAAAGUGGAUUUGUAUUGUGAAAUUCUGUGGUGGCUGGUGGCCACUAUCUGGAUUCCCUUAUCUGGUUAAGAUUUUGCCUCUUCUCAUGAAAGCAGCACGCUCCGUAUUAACUUAUGUCUCUAGUAAAUGAGGUUAAUGUUGUAUUUUGUCCAAAACUAUAUUGAAAAAUAUAAAUAUUAUAUUGUUUAAUGCAAAUGAAGGAAUGCAAUAAACAGUACCUAUACUUGGAAA